UCUGCCAUCAGUCCUGUAUGCUGUGUGACCAGUGGGCGUUUGUGUCGGGGAAGCGUUAAAUUCAUGGGACCUCACCGAAUGGGCCAGUUUUUGGGGCGACAUCCGAAUAUCCUUGCAAGGAGCCUGGCAACCCCUUGGCGAAUUCCUCCAUUGUGAUUUCAUUCCACGAGAAACCAUGACGUUUCAAAUCGCGCCAUCCAGGGUCGUUUUGGUUCCUUUAACUUUAAUGUAUUCUCCGAAGAAUACCGACAAGAGCCCAACCCCCACACCAGGUUUGAACGGAAAUUCCCGACCUCCAAAUUCCAAGAGCUGAGAGGAGCCGAAACCCUGCACUACCGCGGGCUGAACUACCUACUCUCCUUCGUACAUAUCUGAACCCGACCCAUUCCAGGGGGUGCACAGAUUUGUUGGUUCAAUACCUGCCAAUGGCUGAUUAACUCAUCAUGUUACAUUUGCUGACUUGAAUCAAGGUACAGUAGUUAGUUUUGCUGAACCACCCCAUUUUUCUUAAAUUUCGGCCAUUUCUCCAUCCUAUUCGUGGGACGGGAGUGUCACAAUACCACUCGAUAUAUCUUCCCUCAAGGUUUCUGCGGCUCAGCUGCAGAUUCUCCACACCUCUUCUCACAUUGAAUUGAUUCAGCACAUACUAUAAAUAUCACAACCAGGGUGCAUCUGACUUAUCCAAGUAUUUCUGUAAUGCCUAGGUUGAGGGCUGAGGCAUCCCCCAGGGGGGUUAACUAGGAACAGGGUACGGGUUCCAAUAACAGCGGCGGCUGUUAUUGUGUAUGACCUUUUUGGUCGAGUGGUUAAGGGCUGUGCUUGGGAGCCAUUACAAUUUCAAGAAACCUACUAGAACCCCAAGAUUUCGAAUCUCUACCCUUCCUGUUCACUUUGUGUUUCAAAACGGACCCAGGUGCAUGGUAUAAAAUUGGCUAAAUGAGGGCUCCCUGCUCUUCAUUGACAAUCUGAGCUAUCCGAAGGUUGCUACAAUUAGUACACUCUCAACUUUCCAGUACAGCUUUAGUUUGAAAAGUUGACAUCUUUAAAGUGUAUAAUUGUCAACAGCUUUCCAAGGUAUAAGAUCUCUGAGUUCUAAUUUGUCUCAUUUGUCGAAUACCUUGGGGGUCUGUUGUGGCAUUCAUGAUAGCUUUCUUUAUAAAUCUAGGAAUUACAGCAGUCAGCCACGCCGGUAUCUUGUUGGUACGCAUGAGUAUGCUAACCAGUGUGAAUAAUAUGAGCCUUAGAAGAUAUUAAGGGCGGUUAACAGCUCCAGUAGUAAUGAAUG
Molecule: small RNA, 1285 nt
Filed under: Histoplasma capsulatum
Lineage: Eukaryota; Fungi; Ascomycota; Eurotiomycetes; Onygenales; Ajellomycetaceae
Also listed under: 1 other name
Description: hypothetical RNA
Source: RNAcentral